CCAAGUCCUUGGUAAAGACCUAAGAAUCUUCCUCACGAGGUCACUGUUAGAAUAAGACUUACCAAGACUCUUUAAACCAUUAAUAAUAUCAGUAAAAUGAAUAAAUAUUUCAGUUAUUGACUCAUCAAGCUCUAUUUUAAAAAGUUCAUAUUUAUGCACAAGCAUGUUGAUUUUUGAUUCCUUCACUUGGUUAGUUCCU
RNAcentral lists this long non-coding RNA (199 nucleotides) under Elaeis guineensis (African oil palm). RNAcentral's name for it is "long non-coding RNA (EGUI_LNC070327)". The record is from RNAcentral. Lineage: Eukaryota; Viridiplantae; Streptophyta; Magnoliopsida; Arecales; Arecaceae.